This is a long non-coding RNA of Myxocyprinus asiaticus (Chinese sucker), 2132 nucleotides long. RefSeq lists it as uncharacterized. The record is from RefSeq and is a predicted model, not a curated record. The transcript has 3 exons. Lineage: Eukaryota; Metazoa; Chordata; Actinopteri; Cypriniformes; Catostomidae.
UUACCUGUUACCCACGCCCUCAUGUUUGCCAUUGUCUAGUGUCAGUUAUUGUUAAUGUAAUGUAGUUCAUAGUCAUGUCAUGUCAUGUCAAUAGUUAGGGUUACUGGUUUUCAAAUUUGGAAAUAAACUGCACUUGGGUUCGUCACUUCAUCGUCUUCAUCAUUGUCAUUGCCAGCAGCAGCCACUCGUUACAAUUGCAAUCAAGGGAAUUUGCAAGCUUUGUUUAACUUUGGUUUUUAAUUUGUUGUUUUGACUGAAUUUGAAACUGUAUUGCUCAGAGGUUGCUUUUUCAUGGUACAAGAAAUGAGAUCUCAAUUUUGUAUCAAUCUUGUCUCAGAUGUUUCUCGCAAAAUCUCUUGAGAGAAAUAAAAAUAGACACAAAUUACUAAAUGUUGGAGGUACAGUAAACAUAUAGUGCUUUAAAAAUGAACAUGGAUAGUAUGGCACAGAUCGUUUGAUCAAGGAAAAACUUUAUGAGAAAUGCAUACUGACACUGGCAGACAUUGUUGAGAUUUCUUCUGAAACUCAAAAGGAGACACUUGAGAAAAUACUGGAGUCUUAUUCUCAAGAUACACUUAUGAGAUGUAGAAGCAUAUUUAAUUAAUUAAAAAAACAAAUUUAUCUCAACAUUGACUAGAUUUUUCUCUUUAAGGUGAGUAUAGAAGCAAAGUUUGUUUUGGUUGUAAUCAACUUCAUCAGUUCUAUGUGAAUAUAUUUUUCAGUGUCUGAUAUGGGGGUUCUGGGGGAGUUGUGAACACUUCAAGAAAGAAAGAGAGAGAGAAAUGACAAAGGGGGUGGUGUUGGGAAGAAGAAAGCACAGAAGGACAGCAGGAAGGGCUGGAUAUGUUCAAUAAUUUCUGCCGUACGGACACCACAGUAGCCACACUCUAAUUGAAUCCCAUUUAUUCUGUGGAGGCCUCAGCAACAGGCUAAGAAGAGAAAACCUGAAGGUUGAGCUGUUCCGCCCGACCCGGUCUGGACCGGCCCACUUUCACCAUCUGAGUCUGCUUCGGGUUGCCUGCCUCCCCCCUCUCUCGUUCCAUGAGCCAAGAAAAAGCCACAACACACACACAAAGGAUAUCUCUUGCGACCAGCGACGCAAGAAAACCAACGUAAGAGAGUUUCAGGCCCCAUUUCCAGCAGCCAUCAAUCCAACACCUUAUCCUUGAGUAAUCAUGCUAAAUUGCUAAUUUGGUACUAAAAAGUCACUUGCCAUUAUAUCAAACACUGCUGAAAGCUAUUUGGUUUGUUAAAUGAAGCUUAACAUUAUCUUCGUGUUUGUUUUUGAGUUGCCACAGUAUGCAAUAGACUGGCAUGUCUUAAGGUCAAUAAUAGGUCAAAAAUGGCAAAAAAGAAACAGCUUUCUCUAGAAACUUGUCAGUCAAUCAUUGUUUUGAGGAAAGAAGGCUAUACAAUGCUUGAAAUUGCCAAAAAAAACUGAAGAUUUCAUACAAAGGUGUACACUACAGUCUUCAAAGACAAAGGACAACUGGCUCUAACAAGGACAGAAAGAAAUGUGGAAGGCCCAGUUGUACAACUAAACAAGAGGAUAAGUACAUCAGAGUCUCUAGUUUGAGAAUUAGACACCUCACAUAUCCUCAGCUGACAGCUUCAUUGAAAUCUACCCGCUCAACACCAGUUUCAUGUACAACAGUAAAGAGAAGACUCAGUGCAUGCCUUAUGGGAAGAAUUGCAAAGAAAAAGCCAAUUUUGAAACAGAAAAACAAAAACAAAAGGUUAGAGUGCGCAAAGAAACACAGACAUUGGACAACAGAUAAUUGGAAAAGAGUGUUCUGGAUCUUAACCCCAUUGAGCUUUUGUGGGAUCAGCUAGACUGUAAAGUGCGUGAGAAGUGCCCAACAAGACAGCCACAUCUAUGGCAAGUGCUACAGGAAGUGUGGGGUGAAAAGUCACCUGAGUAUCUGGACAAACUGACAGCUAGAAUGCCAAGGAUCUGCAAAGCUGUCAUUGCUGCACGUGGAGGAUUUUUUGAUGAGAACUCUUUGAAGUAGUUUAAGAAGUUCUGAACAUUUUUUUCAAAUUGUAAAAGUAAUUUUUCACGUUAUUAAUGUCCUGACUAUACAUUGUGAUCAACUGAAUGCCAAUUUGGUGAAUAAAAGUACCAAUUUCUU